GACGAACGCUGGCGGCGCGCCUAACACAUGCAAGUCGAACGAGAGAGAGGGAGCUUGCUUCCUCAAUCGAGUGGCGAACGGGUGAGUAACGCGUGAGGAACCUGCCUCAAAGAGGGGGACAACAGUUGGAAACGACUGCUAAUACUGCAUAAGCCCACGACCCGGCAUCGGGUUGAGGGAAAAGGAGCAAUCCGCUUUGAGAUGGCCUCGCGUCCGAUUAGCUAGUUGGUGAGGUAAUGGCCCACCAAGGCAACGAUCGGUAGCCGGACUGAGAGGUUGAACGGCCACAUUGGGACUGAGACACGGCCCAGACUCCUACGGGAGGCAGCAGUGGGGAAUAUUGCACAAUGGGGGAAACCCUGAUGCAGCGACGCCGCGUGGAGGAAGAAGGUCUUCGGAUUGUAAACUCCUGUUGUUGAGGAAGAUAAUGACGGUACUCAACAAGGAAGUGACGGCA
This 457-nucleotide ribosomal RNA is filed under the name uncultured bacterium. Its description in RNAcentral is "bacterial SSU rRNA". It matches the Rfam family "Bacterial small subunit ribosomal RNA", at positions 28 to 498 of the family's 1533-position model. The record is from RNAcentral.